ACAUCAUCCAUUUGCCCUCUAGGCUCACUGUAUCCUCCUUUCCAUUCUGCUCUCUGUCAGAGGGAUUACAUCACUAGGCUCCCCUGUCCUCUGCCUUCUGGUUGAGGUCAGCCAAUGAAGAACCAUGACAGAUCAGAGGGAGGUAGCAGAGUGAGAUCAGAAUAUUCAUCGUCCUGGUUCUCUACCUCUAGGUCACCUUGGAUUGGCUGUGUUCCUCAAUAGAAGGCUAUUUCUUUCCAGAUGAGAAACCUGAGACUCACAGACACAAAGUGGUAACUGGUUUAAGAACAGGAAUCCAGGCCAAUCUCACUCUAAAACCAUGCUUUCUCUAAUACACCAAUUUUCAUCUUAAUUCUCAAUGAGAAUAAAAAUGUACAAAAUAUCAA
Homo sapiens (human) is the source of this 386-nucleotide long non-coding RNA. RefSeq lists it as uncharacterized. The record is from RefSeq and is a predicted model, not a curated record. The transcript has 2 exons. Lineage: Eukaryota; Metazoa; Chordata; Mammalia; Primates; Hominidae.